This 229-nucleotide unclassified non-coding RNA is filed under the name uncultured fungus. Its description in RNAcentral is "sequence contains ITS1". Lineage: Eukaryota; Fungi. The record is from RNAcentral.
UUAAAUUUAUUAUUAUUCUCAGACAACAUAAAAAUUUCCAAGAGUUUUUUUUAAAUUUCCCUCUGGCGAGCACACAUCAGCCUAAACCAACGGAAAAGCCUUUAAAAAAAAAAAACUUUUACGGCUCACCAAAGCAACAAAGUCAAGUACGCAGAGGUUUUAGAGGUCUACCCCCCAAAAAGAGGCAUAAACUCUUUUAAUGAUCCUUCCGCAGGUUCACCUACGGAAA